UACGGAGGGGACUAGCGUUGUUCGGAAUUACUGGGCGUAAAGGGCGCGUAGGCGGCACUGUUAGUCAGGCGUGAAAUUCCUGGGCUCAACCUGGGGACUGCGCUUGAUACGGCAGAGCUUGAGGAUGGAAGAGGGUCGCGGAAUUCCCAGUGUAGAGGUGAAAUUCGUAGAUAUUGGGAAGAACACCGGUGGCGAAGGCGGCGACCUGGUCCAUUACUGACGCUGAGGCGCGACAGCGUGGGGAGCAAACAGG
RNAcentral lists this ribosomal RNA (253 nucleotides) under uncultured bacterium. Its description in RNAcentral is "partial 16S ribosomal RNA". It matches the Rfam family "Bacterial small subunit ribosomal RNA", at positions 524 to 776 of the family's 1533-position model. The record is from RNAcentral.